UAGGGAAUCUUCCGCAAUGGACGAAAGUCUGACGGAGCAACGCCGCGUGAGUGAAGAAGGAUUUCGGUUCGUAAAACUCUGUUGUUAGGGAAGAAAAAAUGUAUAGUAACUAUAUACAAAAGAGACGGUACCUAACCAGAAAGCCACGGCUAACUACGUGCCAGCAGCCGCGGUAAUACGUAGGUGGCAAGCGUUGUCCGGAAUUAUUGGGCGUAAAGCGCGCGCAGGUGGUUUAGAAAGUCGGAUGUGAAAGCCCACGGCUCAACCGUGGAGGGUCAGUGGAAACUAAUAAACUUGAGUGCAGGAGAGAAAAGUGGAAUUCCUAGUGUAGCGGUGAAAUGCGUAGAGAUUAGGAGGAACACCGGUGGCGAAAGCGGCUUUUUGGCCUGCAACUGACACUGAGGCGCGAAAGCGUGGGGAGCAAACAGG
Molecule: ribosomal RNA, 429 nt
Filed under: Verrucomicrobiota bacterium
Lineage: Bacteria; Pseudomonadati; Verrucomicrobiota
Description: Verrucomicrobia bacterium partial 16S ribosomal RNA
Rfam family: Bacterial small subunit ribosomal RNA
Source: RNAcentral